CAUAGAAAGGAAGAUUUUGUUUUGUGAGAAUAAAACAAAUGGAAACUAUCACAAUCGCACCCACGAAUCAUUCAACUGCACUUCUUCUCUUGAUAUUGUUCGAAACCAUGAAAAUUACCAAACAACUUGACAACGGAUCCGGCGCUAUACCAGGAUUGUUUCCGUAUCAAGUAUUCAUUACUGAAUUCGAUCAAUUCAUCUGUGGCGGCGGAAUAAUCGACGCGAGUCAUGUGCGAGUCAUGUGCCGGCUGGUCACUGUGUGGUUGAUGUACGAAGAUGGGCCCUCAAAGUCGUAGCUGGCGUAAUAUAUUUGGGCGACAGUAGUGCAAUCAAGCGACAUAUAAGUCAGAUUCAUGUGCAUCCAGAUUAUAGCUCUGACAUCAAUGAUAUUGCUGUAUUGACGCUUCAAAGGCCUCUCGAAUGGCAGAAUACCAUUGGAUCUAUGGCAUUACCGAGAACCAGAGUUGAAGCAACGAACUUCAGUUGCUCAAUAUGUUAUUUUGUUGGUUGGGGACAAACCGAAGAAGGGUAUGAUCCCCCGUCGGGAAUGCUUGUAUAUGUGGAAAUGAUGAUCUGGACAGUUAGAGAGUAUAGAAAAAGAAGAAUGCUUCCAUCAGUACCCGAAUCCUGUGCUGAGGAUAUUUUCGGAGAAGCGAUACCACGUAAUGGAGACAGUGGCAGCCCAAUUGUUUGCAAUGAUGAGGCUGUGGGUAUUCUCAGCGCUUGGCCGACGGUUGGAGGAUCAACAGCACUGUUUGAGAGUGUGCAAGCUCAUCUGAAUUUCAUCAACAAUGCACGCAGAAUUUAGCUUUUAGCUUAAUAUCUUUAGAUGGAAACUGACGUAUUGGUGAUAAUUGUCCUUCUCGCAUGGGACUCACCAUAAAGCACAGUCACUGCUUGGAAACUUUUUCUGCUUCUCCACAAAAUAAGG
This is an RNA transcript of Diachasma alloeum, 931 nucleotides long. It is a transcript of the gene named chymotrypsin-2, with no coding region annotated. NCBI's taxonomy places the organism in Eukaryota, Metazoa, Arthropoda, Insecta, Hymenoptera, Braconidae. The record is from RefSeq and is a predicted model, not a curated record. The transcript has 4 exons.